AACGCGAAGAACCUUACCUGGCCUUGACAUCCUGGGGAUCCUGCCGAGAGGUGGGAGUGCCUUCGGGAGCCCAGUGACAGGUGCUGCAUGGCUGUCGUCAGCUCGUGUCGUGAGAUGUUGGGUUAAGUCCCGCAACGAGCGCAACCCUUGUCCUUAGUUGCCAGCGGUUUUAGCCGGGCACUCUAAGGUGACUGCCGGGGUCAACUCGGAGGAAGGUGGGGAUGGCGUCAAAUCAUCAUGCCCCUUAUGUCUAGGGCUGCAAACAUGCUACAAUGGCCGGUACAAAGGGCUGCGAUACCGUGAGGUGGAGCGAAUCCCAAAAAGCCGGUCUCAGUUCGGAUUGGGGUCUGCAACUCGACCCCAUGAAGUUGGAGUCGCUAGUAAUCGCAGAUCAGCAACGCUGCGGUGAAUACGUUCCCGGGCCUUGUACACACCG
Molecule: ribosomal RNA, 436 nt
Filed under: uncultured bacterium
Lineage: Bacteria
Description: bacterial SSU rRNA
Rfam family: Bacterial small subunit ribosomal RNA
Source: RNAcentral